RNAcentral lists this ribosomal RNA (331 nucleotides) under uncultured eukaryote. Its description in RNAcentral is "partial 18S ribosomal RNA". It matches the Rfam family "Eukaryotic small subunit ribosomal RNA", at positions 1470 to 1796 of the family's 1831-position model. The record is from RNAcentral.
CCCUUAGAUGUUCUGGGCCGCACGCGCGCUACACUGACGAAGUCAGCGAGCAUGUCCUACGCCGACAGGUGCGGGGGAUCUUGUCAAACUUCGUCGUGAUGGGGAUUGAUUAUUGAAAUUCUUGAUCAUCAACGAGGAAUUCCUAGUAAGCGCAAGUCAGCAGCUUGCGUUGAUUACGUCCCUGCCCUUUGUACACACCGCCCGUCGCUACUACCGAUUGAAUGGUUUAGUGAGAUCUUCGGAUUGGCGCCACUGCGGCUCAGCAAUGGGCUCGGUGGAUGCCGAAAAGUUGAUCAAACUUGAUCAUUUAGAGGAAGUAAAAGUCGUAACA